RNAcentral lists this ribosomal RNA (468 nucleotides) under uncultured bacterium. Its description in RNAcentral is "partial 16S ribosomal RNA". It matches the Rfam family "Bacterial small subunit ribosomal RNA", at positions 28 to 507 of the family's 1533-position model. The record is from RNAcentral.
GACGAACGCUGGCGGCGUGCUUAACACAUGCAAGUCGAACGGAAAGGCCCUGCUUUUGUGGGGUGCUCGAGUGGCGAACGGGUGAGUAACACGUGAGUAACCUGCCCUUGACUUUGGGAUAACUUCAGGAAACUGGGGCUAAUACCGGAUAGGAGCUCCUGCUGCAUGGUGGGGGUUGGAAAGUUUCGGCGGUUGGGGAUGGACUCGCGGCUUAUCAGCGUGUUGGUGGGGUAGUGGCUUACCAAGGCUUUGACGGGUAGCCGGCCUGAGAGGGUGACCGGCCACAUUGGGACUGAGAUACGGCCCAGACUCCUACGGGAGGCAGCAGUGGGGAAUAUGGCACAAUGGGCGGAAGCCUGAUGCAGCAACGCCGCGUGCGGGAUGACGGCCUUCGGGUUGGAAACCGCGUUCGCCUGUGACGAAGCGUGAGUGACGGUAAUGGGUAAAGAAGCACCGGCUAACUACGUG